GAUGAACGCUGGCGGCGCGCCUAACACAUGCAAGUCGAACGAUUAAAGCACCUUCGGGUGUGUAUCACGUGGCGCACGGCUGAGUAACACGUGUGCAACCUGCCCCUUUCAUUGUGGUAGCACCUGGAAACCGUGGAUCAUACCGCAUACUUCGACACUUCCGCCUUGGUGACUCGUGAAAGCUCCGGCGGAGGGGGAUGGGCCCGCGGCCUGUUAGCUUGUUGGUGGGGUAACGGCCUACCAAGGCAAUGACGGGUAGCUGGGUUGAGAGGCUGACCGGCCAGAUUGGGACUGAGACACGGCCCAGACUCCUACGGGAGGCAGCAGUGGGGAAUAUUGCACAAUGGGCGGAAGCCUGAUGCAGCGACGCCGCGUGCGGGAUGAAGGCCUUCGGGUUGUAAACCGCUUUCAGCAGGGACGAGGCGAAAGUGACGGUACCGGGAGAAGAAGCACCGGCUAACUACGUG
This 467-nucleotide ribosomal RNA is filed under the name uncultured bacterium. RNAcentral describes it as "partial 16S ribosomal RNA". It matches the Rfam family "Bacterial small subunit ribosomal RNA", at positions 28 to 507 of the family's 1533-position model. The record is from RNAcentral.